AAGUUUUCCAGAUUCAAAGGUAUUUUCUAGAUUGCUCUUAGAUAUCUAACAGGCUCUAAAGAAUGUUUUGCAGUUCACUGAAAAAUAUGAAAAAAGAGCAUAUCCUUCUGGCGCGUGCUUCAGUGGCACACACAGGUGAAUCCCCACGCUGCCUAAGCCUUUGAGAGGGAGGCAGCCUCUAAGGCAGAGCAGCCUGAAGAGUGAGGGGAACGUUCGUGCGCCAAGCCUAGUGACUCCUUUGGACAUCCUAUAUAGCUCCAGAUGGAUUCCCCGGAGUCAUAACUUCUGUCUACACAGUCACUAUCACUGGAAAGAGAUGUCCAAGAAUGUUAGCCACCUAGAGGGGAUCCAAAUUUAUUGAGAAGGGUUUAGAAAUUAAAUAUCACCAGCCUGGAUGAUACUUAACAGAGAGGGUGAAUCUAAGAGGUCCUGGGCCUUCCUGAACUCAGGAAGUCGGCUAAGCUCGGAGAGAAUCCACCUCGACCAUCAGUCUGAUAAUGUCUACGCUGAUCUCCAAUGGCUUCUCCUUAGUCCUUAGCAAGAAACGUUUAGAGUCAUGUUCCUACAGUUCCAUUUACAAAAGGUGCGUCUGGGGAAAAGAGCAUUCAGGCAGAGGAACAGCAAAAAGAAAUUUUCAAGGAAGUCAGCUGUCAUGUUAUAAGAAACCCUACUGAGAGGUCCACACGGGCAGAAACUGAGGCUUCCCACCAGUAGCCAGCAGAGUUUGCCCGCCAUGUGAGUGUGCCAUCUUGAAAGUGGAUCCUCCAGUCUCAGUCAAGCCUUCACACGAUUGCAGCCCCAGCCAACAUCUUAACUGCAGCCUUAUAAAAGAUCCGGAAUGAGAACUAACAAGCUAAGACACUUCUGAAUUCUUGAGCCCCAGAUAUUGUGAAAUCAUUCAUGUUUUAUUAUUUAAGCCACUAAGUUUUGGGGGUAAUUUGUUAUGCAGCAAUAGACAACUGUUAUAGAAUGAGAAAAGAUAUCACAAUAAACCAUUUAUUUCUUAAAAAGCUGACAAAUAUCACAGACAUGACACAAAUCCAGGAAAAUAACAUAAUACUCUUCUUUAAUUAACUGUCUUGUACACUGCCGUACUAUCUUUUUUCCUAUAGUUUUUGUGUGCAAACUCUUUGAGGAGUUAAUCUUCUCUAGCAUGGUUGAUCAAAUUUUUUAUUCCUGAUAGCUUUUAU
RNAcentral lists this long non-coding RNA (1190 nucleotides) under Equus asinus (donkey). RNAcentral's name for it is "lncRNA (ENSEASG00005034511.1)". The record is from RNAcentral. Lineage: Eukaryota; Metazoa; Chordata; Mammalia; Perissodactyla; Equidae.